GUUGAGUGCCUGGACACGACGUGCUACUUCUCAACAUUCCCCUUGAGCUAAUGCUAAGGAAGUUAGCAUGUCUGUAAAUGAACGUGGACUCCCACUCAGAACCGAGUGCCCAAACAAAGCACCUUCAUCAAUGUGACUGUUAAAUAAUCCACCAUGGAGCCAAAGAACAUUGCGAGUGCUCGCAUUUUCAUAAAGAAGUCUCCUUUCUAGAGCAGCUGCACUGUUCUUCAGCACCACCGUGUAGAAGCCAGCAUCCCCAGGACCAACAUCCCUGAUCUCCAAAGCGUGGUUAAGACAUCCAGCUGGUGCUGGUGCUGUCAAAAAACAACUUGCUGGAAUUUCCUCUCUCUGUAAGGACAGCAGUGACAAGCAUCUUCCAGCUCACCCCUUUAAGAUGAAGUGAGUACUGCAAGUGCCUCCCGUAUGACAGUUCUAUGUAUUUUAGUGUCCAAUUAGCAAGAAUAAUGAGGUCACACUUACAAUGAAGACAUUACACAGGCUGUAGAAAGUCAUGGUGUAU
This is a long non-coding RNA of Dunckerocampus dactyliophorus (ringed pipefish), 520 nucleotides long. RefSeq lists it as uncharacterized. Lineage: Eukaryota; Metazoa; Chordata; Actinopteri; Syngnathiformes; Syngnathidae. The record is from RefSeq and is a predicted model, not a curated record. The transcript is spliced from 4 exons.